This is a long non-coding RNA of Anolis carolinensis (green anole), 5414 nucleotides long. RefSeq lists it as uncharacterized. The transcript is spliced from 5 exons. The record is from RefSeq and is a predicted model, not a curated record. NCBI's taxonomy places the organism in Eukaryota, Metazoa, Chordata, Lepidosauria, Squamata, Anolidae.
AUAGAUAUGCUGGAUUUCGUAUCACAAAAUCACAAGUCGAACAUUUCCCAAGUGUCUAGGACUGUGUGAUGUAUUUUCGGAUGAUGCGCACAGAUCUCAGUAGGGUGGCCUUUUGCAGUUGGCAGAUCGUAAUUUUGUCAAUGUCUAUUGUUUCCAAAUGCCGGCUGAGGUCUUUUGGUACAGCACCCAAUGUGCCCAUCACCACCGGGACCACCUGCACUGGUUUCUGCUAGAAUCUUUGAAGUUCAAUCUUGAGAUCCUGAUAGCGGCUGAAUUUUUCCUGUUGUUUUUCAUCAAUGUGACUGUUACCUGGGAUGGCGACAUCAAUGAUCCAAACCUUUUUCUUUUCCAGAACUGUGAUGUCUGGUGUGUUGUGUUCCAGAACUUUGUCAGUCUGGAUUCAGAAGUCCCACAGUAUCUUUGCGUGCUCAUUUUCCAAUACUUUUGCAGGACUGGAAAAGGUGCAGAAAGGAGCAGCUAAAAUGUUCAGGAGGAGGAAGAAGGAUGUUUGAUCUUCCCUUCAAUAGAAGAUCUUGCAAAAACUGUCGGGCAGAGUGAAGGAUUUGAGAUGAUGGUGGACAGUUUACGAAGUUAUGUGACAGUGCUUUGCAGAUGGAGCAGCAUAAGACCAUGAUAAAAGUAGAAGUAUAGCAGCCACCAAUAUGGGCAACUGCAAGAUUAUAUCACAAGAGGAAGCAUAAUCUCGACUUGUUUACAGUUGGAAGAUGGUUGACAAUUUAUUUUUAUUAGCAAGAAACUCAAUAGUCAAGUCAUAAAUCUGUCACUGUAGCACUGAUUGUGACUUGUUUACCCUUCAGAAAACUCUGUUAGACAUACAGCACCAUUAUAUGCAAAGAACCAUUUUGCAAUCCAUAAAUUGGGUGUUUACUGAUUUGCAUUAUUUGUGGAGAAGCUGCUGCAUUUAUUAUUUAGGUAUUUGCCAAGAGGGCAAUAGGAUUUGACACAGUGAAGGCACCUAUGGGCUACAUUUAGUUCUUACUGGGUUUUGUGAACCUCCACACCAUCAACAUUUGACACAAAUGCAACUGCAUUUUUGCAAUAGAACAGGGAAUAUUGGGAAGACUCUGGGAAGUACAAUUCUUCUCUCGCACAAGGGAGGCAAGACUGACCUAUGGACUUUUAAAAGUUGCCAUUCCCUAUCUUUUGUUUAAAACAACUGCAGUGGUGCACCAAGAACAAAAAUGUAUUAUGAUUUUUCACCAUGAAUUUGUUGCAGCUAAAAGUUAUAUGUCUUUUGAUUCUUAUAAAGCCACUAAUCAGAAUGAUGAUAUGCUAAUACAUAUCAAUCUAUCUAUUCAUCCACAUACACUGCAUUUGAAAGCAACAUUGGAUACCAAUCUAACCAUAAUUACCAGUGUAAAAUAUACCAUUAACCACUAAGUAUUAGUGAAAAUGUAGUGAUCCAUGCCAAACGCAAUGAAUACAAUGUCCUGUUGGUCAUUGGUGAUCCAACUAUAAUUGCCUUCCAAAUGUUGUGUCUUGGCGGUGGGUCCAUAGGUGACUGUAGAGGCCUAUUGUUGACCUGCAUGUUCUUCCAUAGUGAGGACAUCAAUUUCCAGGUGGAAGGCAGUCCCAGUCAGAAUUAGCUUGACACAUCUUCCUCUUGUCAUGUUUCUCCCUUUAGUCCUCCAUUUGUCCUCUUUGAAUUCCACAGUUAGAAUGUUCAAGGGCCAGAGCUUCUCAGUUCUCGGUGUCUAUGCCACAGUUUUUAAUGUUGGCUUUGAGCCUAUCUUUAAAUCUCUUUUCCUGCCCACCAACAUUGUUUUCCAUUCUUGAGUUGGGAGUAUAACUGCUUUGGGAGGCAGUGAUCAAACAUUCGGACAAUCUUUCCAGUUGGAUUUCUUGAGCCUUUUUUGUUCACCAGAUGUUCUUGAGUUCUCUGGUCCUUAUUAGGCCCUCAGCUUUUUCACUGUUUCUUAGCAGUGCAGUUGGUGUCUCUCUGCCAAAUUUGGAAGGCUUUCCUUUUCUUAUCAAUUAACUGUUGGAUCUCAUUAUCAUUUUCAUCAAUCAAGUCUUGAUGUUUCUUAGUUAUCCAAUAGUUUCUUCACAGGCUGUGAUGAUGGAGGUCUUCACUUUAUUCCAAUGUUCCUCAACAUUUUCAGGUUGUUCUAUGGGUAGAUGAGUCUUGAGCAUUGUUUGGAGAAGGGCUUGUUUGGAGGGCUCUUGAAGAGCUGGGAUGUUAAUUUUAUGCCUUAUCUUUCUUCCUCGGAGUCUGUGUUUGGGGGUGAUCUUGAUAGAUUGGAUUAACCAGUGGUCUGUCCAGCAGUCAUUAGCACCUGUCAUGGCUCUUGUGAGGCAGUCUCUGGCACAUAUAAUUACAUAGUCUAAGAGGUACCAAUGCUUUGACCGGGGUGCUUCCAUAAUGUCUUAAACUUGCUUUUAUGACGGAAGAGUGUGUUUGUGAUGAAAAGGUUGUGUUCCACAUAUUUGGUAAGAAGCAGGAUGCCAUUCGGGUUGCUGUUUCCAACUCCAUAUUUUCCUAUGGUCCCUGGCCACAGGUUGAAGUCUCAUCCAACUCUCAUUUUAAAAUCACCCAGGAGGAUGAUUUUUGUCCUCCUUAGGUAUCUCUGCCAGGAUGAUGUCCAGCUGACAGUAAAAUUUUUACUUAUUGUCUUAACUCGCAUCUAGUUGGUGUAGGCACUUAUGAUAGUUGCCUGUUGGUUUUUGGUAAGGCUAAUUUGGGGGAUUGAGAGUCAUUCAUUAAUGCUGAUGGGUGCUUCAGAUAGAUGCUUCACCAAGUUGUUUCUGAUAGCAGAGCCAACUGUGUGUAUUCUUCAUUCAUCUUCAGGCAGUCCUUUCCAGAAGAAAGUGUAAUCUCCAUUCUCUUCCUCCUUCAGCUGCCCGUCUCUGGCUCUCUGGGUCUCCUGAAGUGCUGCUAUGUCAAUGUGAAAAAGCAUACCAGCUCCCUUGCAAUAAUAGCAGUCCUGCAUUCAGGGUGUUCAUUAUCUGUGUUGUCCAACAGGAUAAUUUCAGCAAUAUUUUAAAUGCUUGCUAUCAGUCACUAACAAUUAUAAACCUACAUAAAAAUGUGAUUUUAUUUCAGAACUUCCCUCUGCCAAGUAAGUUUUUCAAGAAGUUGGAAGUUCUCCUUUGGGUUUAAGAUAACUGAGCUUAGAAGAGUGCUUAAUGCAAAGAGACAGGAAGAAACUGACACUGAAAUAUAUGAACAAGAAUGACUGAUAAAGAUAAAAAGUAUUUUCACUCAAAUGUAUCUCUUAAGCCCAUUUGUACUUUUUUGCCAAUGAUAAUUAUACAUAGCUUGAUUACCGUUUUAAAGCUCUUUUCCUCCUCCAAAGUGAAACUUAAAUAUUUAUAGUUUAAUUAAACUAAAGAAAUUAUUAGAAACACUGCAGAACAAAUAAUAUUUACAGCAGAUUUUGGAAAUCACACUUUACGUUGCAUUACUGCCAUCUACUGUUCAAAACUGUGUUAAGAACUGGUUCUAUCUCAAUAGUUUUGCUUAAAUGUCACUACUAAUUUUAAUGAAAAACAAACUUUUUCUUAGGAUUUCAGUGUCAGGAGCCCCCGGUGGGAGAGUGAGUUAAAUCCUUGGGCUGGCAGAACUGAUGACUUGAAGGUUGGGUUGCUGAUUUGAAGGCUGCCGGUUCGAAUCCAACGCAGGGAAAAUGUGGAUGAGCUUCCUCUAUCAUAUCCAGCUCCAUGCGGGCACAUGAGAGAAGCCUCCCAUAAGGAUGGUAAAAACAUCAAAACAUCUGGGCAUCCCCUGGGAAACAUUCUUGCCAAUUCUCUCACACCAGAAGCAACUUGCAGUUUCUCAAGUCGCUCCUGACAUUUAAAAAAAAGUGUCAGAGGCCAAAAAAAAUGAGUUCACGAUGUCUUUUUGGAAGAUUAUGAGUGUAAAUAUUGUUUUACAAAUGUCAGUAACAAUGUAAAGUUUACAAACUCACAAGCAACCUGAAGCUAACUAAGGAAGCUAACACGGAUUGCCUUAAAACAAGAUCUGAAAUCAUGAUUUCCAGCAAAAUUGUUAGCUCUAGCCAGAGCUACCCCUAUACACAUCUAGAUUUAAAUUACAGAAGGGCAGGGUGAAAGAAAAGUAUAACCCUCUAAGACACUUAUGAUUUUCCAACCCUGGAUUUAAUACAGUAGAGUCUCACUUAUCCAACACUCGCUUGUCCAACGUUCUGGUUUAUCCAACACAUUUUUGUAGUCAAUGUUUUCAAAACAUUAUGAUAUUUUGGUGCUAAAUUUGUAAAUACAGUAAUUACUACAUAGCAUUAUUGCGUAUUAAACUACUUUUUCUGUCAAAUUUGUUGUUAAACAUGAUGUUUUGGUGAUUAAUUUGUAAAAUCAUAACCUAAUUUGAUGUGUAAUAGGCUUCUCCUUAAUCCUUCCUUAUUUUCCAACAUAUUCGCUUAUCCAACGUUCUGCCGGCCCGUUUAUGUUGGAUAAGUGAGACUCUACUGUAUUAAGAAAAAGUUUGGAAUACAUCUUGAUCAUUUCAACCAUAUUUCCAUAACAUGUUUCUGCUGAUUUAUGUGCCCCACAAUCAACAAACAGUUUUGGCUUCUACGCAACUAUAAUUUCUGAGUCUAAGUGCUUAUAAUACUUGCAACAAAGACUCUGUUCCUGCUAGUCUUUGGGAAUCCUGCCAAAACUCAGUCAUUCAGUAAUGUUAAACAUGAGAAAUUGGAAAUCAAUUCAUUAUAUCAAUAUUAAUACAUGAAUGUGUUCAAUCAUUUGAAUUACUGCUAGCUAAUUUAUUAAAAAUGCAGACUAUGCUACUCUCCUUAAAACACCUUGUUUGUUAAGUAUGAAUAAGAAAGAAAACUGUAAUAUCAAAACGUUCAGCAUUCCUUAUUGACCAUAUUGAUUAGAGCUGCUGUGAACUGUAAUACAAGUACAUAUGGAAGGCCACAUGAUUCCCACUCCUACAUGAAAGCAUAGAAAAAACAAUCAAUUGUUAAUUUCAGCUAAGGAAAAAGCAUCCACUACAAGUAUUUGGUUACAAGAUCAGACAGUGAAUCAAAGGUGGACAGUUCUUAAUCAAAAAAUGUUCUCAGUACCUCUGAGCACCUGCGGAACAUUUUAAUGUACAACUCAAUCACUACAUGUUGUCUGUCUUCCACUCUCUAUCAGGAAAUGUGAUUUGCAAAGAUCAGCUGUAGAGCAUAUGUUUUGUUCUCAUAAUUCAAUGAGACAUAUGUCUGAGUAGAUUUAACAUAAAAGAAACAAAGAAAAACAUUUAUCCCAGGGGUGUCAAUUUAACUAGUAUCUUUAAGUUUGGCUCCAACCUUAGAAAGCGUGUUAUCCUCUAAAGAAAUAGACGGGCAAAACGUAUCAUAGGAGAGAGGGGAAGGAAAGAAGGGGAGGAUGUGUGUGAAAGACAGGAGAGGGGGGAAACAGAGAGAGAGAGAGAGAGAGAGAGAGAG